UCUUCUUCGUGGUUCACUUUACCGCCCAAAAUGGCGGCCUGUAUCUGGGCAAGUCCCCACCAAGGUGUCUGUGGUCUGAGGUUGAGCAGGGCAUUCCCCGUUGGAUCCCAAUGAUUUUAUUUACCCUGGAGGGGAGAAUCAUUUCUAAAGGGGUUACUUUGAUUGGACGUAGAGGGGGUAAUCUCUAUAAAUCCCAUGAGGUUUUACUGCUGUCCGGGC
Molecule: non-coding RNA, 219 nt
Organism: Pelobates cultripes (western spadefoot toad)
Lineage: Eukaryota; Metazoa; Chordata; Amphibia; Anura; Pelobatidae
Source: the annotation of a GenBank genome assembly